GUUGGCUUAGAAGCAGCCAUCAUUUAAAGAAAGCGUAAUAGCUCACUGGUCGAGUCGGCCUGCGCGGAAGAUGUAACGGGGCUAAACUAUGCACCGAAGCUGCGGCAGCGAACGUAUCACUUAAACUGAUUAAGUGAUAUUCAAUAGUAUCAAAACGAUUGACGGAGCAACGCGACGUCAAUGCGUUCAACAAAGUCGAGGCGGAAACGUCAGACAGUCAGUUUAAGGAUACGUUCGUUGGGUAGGGGAGCGUUCUGUAAGCCUGUGAAGGUGU
RNAcentral lists this ribosomal RNA (274 nucleotides) under Providencia rettgeri. RNAcentral's name for it is "partial 23S ribosomal RNA". It matches the Rfam family "Bacterial large subunit ribosomal RNA", at positions 1100 to 1259 of the family's 2925-position model. Lineage: Bacteria; Pseudomonadati; Pseudomonadota; Gammaproteobacteria; Enterobacterales; Morganellaceae. The record is from RNAcentral.